UUGCACACUCCUGAAGACAAUAAGCCAAUCCGUAGUGAUGGGAGAUCCACUGAAGUCAUCUCAUGAUGUGUGUUGUCGGGCUAUUUAAAGGCUGCUGUUUCACUUCCAAACUUCACUCCCUUCUGACGUCUUCAGUGCUGUUCACUUGGCAACCUUGGCUACUCUUCAGCAGAUAAUUUGUACUCUACAUAAGCAUUUAGAAGAACCCAGAGUUAAACCAAGGAUAAGAGUCAUCGGUAACAUUUAUAGUUACUGAACUCCUCACUAUGUGUCACAAAGUGGGUCAGAGGGUGCAUCUUUCAGGAGAAAAAGAACAUUCUUUUAGUGCUAUUUCUACUUCCACAUUGAUACGACAAUGAUUCCUACAGCUAAAUUAAGGUUUGACCUCAUGUGUCAAAUGAUUUUUGUUUAGUCAAUAGAUUUUUUUCUAAAUGUUAUCCUCUCCAAAAAAAUCAGAAAUUUAGCAUUUAAGUUAUGCAUGAUCACAAGUACAUAUAUAUAUACACACACAUAUAUAUAUGCAAGAACAGCCUUUUCUUGACAAUAAUUCAAUGCGAGAAAAAUUUAGAUAAAUGUAUUGAAUGUACAAAAGUGUAAUAAAACCCCCUUUAGUUUAAUAGAUAAAAGAGCAUUGUGGGGAGUUUUUUCUUUGCAGGGUUGGAGUAUGUGCUCUGCUCAUGGAAACCAGCUGUCAUGCCACUUCCCAGCACUCGGAGGGAACAGAAACUUGUUUCUUCUCUACUGUUAAAGCAAAAGGGUGUGCCCAAGGCAAAGAUUAGAGUGGCUGUGGAUCUGCAGGUGGUUUUACGUAUUUGCGGUGAGGUCAAAGAAACAUCUUUUUUUGCACUUCUUCUUUUCUCCAAAUUGGGCAUUGCCUGAAAUGGACGCAUUCAGCAGCACUGUGGGAUGAGAUAUGUACAAGGCAUCAUUUCCCUCUAAGGCAAAUACCUUCACUGCUGGCAAACCUUCAGAAUUUGCAAGCUCAGCCAGCACCUUUGACCCGGCCACACAGCUGACAGCACAGUUGGCAGUUGGUAGCUUCCAUUUAUCCUAGGUCAGCUCCCGAGGCAUCGGCAUAAAAUGAAAUAAAGAUUUGAGCAGUCACUUCAGAAAUGAAAAUGGGAAUGCCCAAUAGUUUGCUUCAGUUUGCUCAGGCUGAGAACCAUUUAUUAAGCUGGUAAAAUGGGAAAGUCAUACAUGAG
RNAcentral lists this long non-coding RNA (1202 nucleotides) under Homo sapiens (human). RNAcentral describes it as "HSALNT0113353". Lineage: Eukaryota; Metazoa; Chordata; Mammalia; Primates; Hominidae. The record is from RNAcentral.